Asparagus officinalis (garden asparagus) is the source of this 137-nucleotide long non-coding RNA. RefSeq lists it as uncharacterized. The transcript is spliced from 3 exons. Lineage: Eukaryota; Viridiplantae; Streptophyta; Magnoliopsida; Asparagales; Asparagaceae. The record is from RefSeq and is a predicted model, not a curated record.
GUGUGCAAGAACUGUCUACUGUACAAACAUUGACAAGAAGAUUACUCAGGAAGAGCUGAGACUCUUUUUUGGAUCAAUAUGUGGAGAGGUCUAUCGCAUGAGAAUGCUCGGGGACUAUCAGCAUAAAACUCGCAUUG